UCUGCUCCACUUUCUUGAUCCUGGCAAGUUUAAGAAUAAGGAUGAGUUUGUUGAAAACUACAAGAACCUUAGCUCAUUUAAUGAAUCUGAACUCGCCAAUCUUCAUUUAGAAUUGAGACCCCAUAUUCUACGACGAGUGAUUAAAGAUGUUGAGAAGUCGUUGCCUC
Camelina sativa (false flax) is the source of this 167-nucleotide non-coding RNA. The record is from RefSeq and is a predicted model, not a curated record. NCBI's taxonomy places the organism in Eukaryota, Viridiplantae, Streptophyta, Magnoliopsida, Brassicales, Brassicaceae.